AGCGCAGGUGGGAAGACAAGUUGGAAGUGAAAUCCAUGGGCUCAACCCAUGAACUGCUUUCAAAACUGUUUUUCUUGAGUAGUGCAGAGGUAGGCGGAAUUCCCGGUGUAGCGGUGGAAUGCGUAGAUAUCGGGAGGAACACCAGUGGCGAAGGCGGCCUACUGGGCACCAACUGACGCUGAGGCUCGAAAGUGUGGGUAGCAAACA
Molecule: ribosomal RNA, 207 nt
Filed under: uncultured bacterium
Lineage: Bacteria
Description: partial 16S ribosomal RNA
Rfam family: Bacterial small subunit ribosomal RNA
Source: RNAcentral